GAGCAGAGGUGCUACCUCGACCCGAAUGUCUGGUCUUUGGACAAGGAAAAUUUGAAGUGGAUUGGACUUAAGCCUGAACCAUCACCUACCUGAUUCAGCUUGUGAGGUUUACUGCUGUGUAAAGGUGUUUUUGUCCAGAUAUGCAAAGAUACCUAGAAGGUUCACAGAUGGGCACCCUCUCCUUCUCGGGAAAAUGAACUAAUAUUGAGUACUUCUUGCCAUCCAGGGACUCCGCACCCAUAAUCUCAUCUCUACCUCAUCAGUCACAUCUAUCCCAAGCCUGCUGGCAUCCAACACAAGGUUAUGCUUCUGUUUUUAUUCUUUCAAAAUGAGAGAGAGAGACAGGGAGAGGGAGAGGGAGAGGGAGAAGGAGAGGGAGUCAAAAAUGGUGUCCUACCAUCUCCCCUUACUAAUCCUCUCCACUCCAGGCCUUUCCACAUCUGAACGAAAUAUCUGACCCUUCUCAGCCGGACCCACCCCUAACAUCUGUGGGGCCUGGGCAAGACUGCGACUCGAGAUCCAUGCACCGUAUGUCUAAAUAUUUAAAAGUUAGAACAUAUCUCUAAACACAGACACUUCAUGCCUGCAUCAGAUAUAUUCACCGAGACUUAUGUAUAAGAACCAAUUAAAGUAGCAUAAACUGGAAACAGUGUAAAUGUUCAACAAUGGGGCAUUUUGAUUAAUUAUAGUAUCCAUUCAUAUAAUAGAAUAACAAUGAGCUAUUAAAAAUUGUUAAUA
This is a long non-coding RNA of Leopardus geoffroyi (Geoffroy's cat), 738 nucleotides long. RefSeq lists it as uncharacterized. The record is from RefSeq and is a predicted model, not a curated record. NCBI's taxonomy places the organism in Eukaryota, Metazoa, Chordata, Mammalia, Carnivora, Felidae. The transcript is spliced from 3 exons.